Molecule: ribosomal RNA, 253 nt
Filed under: uncultured bacterium
Lineage: Bacteria
Description: partial 16S ribosomal RNA
Rfam family: Bacterial small subunit ribosomal RNA
Source: RNAcentral
UACGUAGGGUGCGAGCGUUAAUCGGAAUUACUGGGCGUAAAGCGUGCGCAGGCGGUUUUGUAAGUCAGAUGUGAAAUCCCCGGGCUCAACCUGGGAACUGCGUUUGAAACUACAAGGCUAGAGUUUGGCAGAGGGGGGUGGAAUUCCACGUGUAGCAGUGAAAUGCGUAGAGAUGUGGAGGAAUACCGAUGGCGAAGGCAGCCUCCUGGGCCAACACUGACGCUCAUGCACGAAAGCGUGGGGAGCAAACAGG